Phrynosoma platyrhinos (Desert horned lizard) is the source of this 72-nucleotide non-coding RNA. The record is from the annotation of a GenBank genome assembly. NCBI's taxonomy places the organism in Eukaryota, Metazoa, Chordata, Lepidosauria, Squamata, Phrynosomatidae.
ACAUGUGUGGUAUAGUGGUUUGAGUGUGAGACUAUGACUCUGGAGACCAGGGUUCAAAUCCCUGCGGAGCCA